This 264-nucleotide ribosomal RNA is filed under the name uncultured archaeon. RNAcentral's name for it is "partial 16S ribosomal RNA". It matches the Rfam family "Archaeal small subunit ribosomal RNA", at positions 717 to 982 of the family's 1478-position model. The record is from RNAcentral.
ACACGACUACAUUAGAUACCCGGGUAGUCCCANCCGUAAACUAUGCGCGUUAGGUGUAUCGGUGACCACGAGUCACCGAGGUGCCGAAGGGAAACCGUGAAACGUGCCGCCUGGGAAGUACGGUCGCAAGGCUGAAACUUAAAGGAAUUGGCGGGGAGCACCACAACGGGUGGAGCCUGCGGUUUAAUUGGACUCAACGCCGGGAAGCUCACCGGAUAAGACAGCGGAAUGAUUGCCGGGCUGAAGACUCUGCAUGACUAGCUG